Molecule: transfer RNA, 71 nt
Filed under: Ornithodoros turicata
Lineage: Eukaryota; Metazoa; Arthropoda; Arachnida; Ixodida; Argasidae
Also listed under: 1 other name
Description: transfer RNA glycine (anticodon GCC)
Rfam family: tRNA
About the family: Transfer RNA (tRNA) molecules are approximately 80 nucleotides in length. Their secondary structure includes four short double-helical elements and three loops (D, anti-codon, and T loops). Further hydrogen bonds mediate the characteristic L-shaped molecular structure. tRNAs have two regions of fundamental functional importance: the anti-codon, which is responsible for specific mRNA codon recognition, and the 3' end, to which the tRNAs corresponding amino acid is attached (by aminoacyl-tRNA synthetases). tRNAs cope with the degeneracy of the genetic code in two manners: having more than one tRNA (with a specific anti-codon) for a particular amino acid; and 'wobble' base-pairing, i.e. permitting non-standard base-pairing at the 3rd anti-codon position.
Source: RNAcentral
GCGUCGGUGGUUCAGUGGUAGAAUACUCGCCUGCCACGCGGGUGGCUCGGGUUCGAUUCCCGGCCGACGCA